This 522-nucleotide long non-coding RNA is filed under the name Mytilus galloprovincialis (Mediterranean mussel). The record is from RNAcentral. Lineage: Eukaryota; Metazoa; Mollusca; Bivalvia; Mytilida; Mytilidae.
CUGUGUAUAGCUAUUAUGAAUGCCACUGAUUUAAAGUUUGACACUGCAUUUAUUGAAUCGUGCAUGGAACAAUGAAAAUAGGAAAUUCCAGUAAAAAAAAAUAAUUGUUUGUUUUGUCUAUACAUGAUAUGUAUUCUUUUGGUUACAUUUGAAGAUGUUUAUAUUUUAUUUAAUGUUGAAAUAAUAUGCUGAUCUUGAUAUUGUGUGUUUAAUAAAACAUUAUGUUUCGAUUAUUCAGACAAGUCAAUUGUUACUUUUGUCUGUGGUCAUGUCGAGCCGUUUUUAAUUGAAUUAUUAUCAUUUACUGAAACUUACGAUUUAUACGAAAAUCUGCAAUGAUGCCGUUUAAAUACUUUACAUGUUGUAACGCGAUAAACGUGAUUGAAAAACAUUGAUAUCUUUAUUUCUAAAAAGUCGUAACUCAAGAUAAAUCAUGCAAAAUCCUAAAUGCUUGUAGGAAAUAUGAUCUUUUAGAAACAGUAUUUUCACAUAUACCGAGUGCAGAUUGAAUCAUUAUGGCAG